Molecule: ribosomal RNA, 687 nt
Filed under: Ensifer sp. CRRI-95_SA4
Lineage: Bacteria; Pseudomonadati; Pseudomonadota; Alphaproteobacteria; Hyphomicrobiales; Rhizobiaceae
Description: bacterial SSU rRNA
Rfam family: Bacterial small subunit ribosomal RNA
Source: RNAcentral
GUCGAGCGCCCCGCAAGGGGAGCGGCAGACGGGUGAGUAACGCGUGGGAAUCUACCCUUUUCUACGGAAUAACGCAGGGAAACUUGUGCUAAUACCGUAUAAGCCCUUUGGGGGAAAGAUUUAUCGGGAAAGGAUGAGCCCGCGUUGGAUUAGCUAGUUGGUGGGGUAAAGGCCUACCAAGGCGACGAUCCAUAGCUGGUCUGAGAGGAUGAUCAGCCACAUUGGGACUGAGACACGGCCCAAACUCCUACAGGAGGCAGCAGUGGGGAAUAUUGGACAAUGGGCGCAAGCCUGAUCCAGCCAUGCCGCGUGAGUGAUGAAGGCCCUAGGGUUGUAAAGCUCUUUCACCGGUGAAGAUGAUGACGGUAACCGGAGAAGAAGCCCCGGCUAACUUCGUGCCAGCAGCCGCGGUAAUACGAAGGGGGCUAGCGUUGUUCGGAAUGACUGGGCGUACAGCGAACGUAGGCGGACAUUUAAGUCAGGGGUGAAAUCCCGGGGCUCAACCCCGGAACUGCCUUUGAUACUGGGUGUCUAGAGUAUGGAAGAGGUGAGUGGAAUUCCGAGUGUAUAGGUGAAAUUCGUAGAUAUUCGGAGGAACACCAGUGGCGAAGGCGGCUCACUGGUCCAUUACUGACGCUGAGGUGCGAAAGCGUGGGGAGCAAACAGGAUUACAUACCCUGGUAGUCC